This is a non-coding RNA of Chelonoidis abingdonii (Abingdon island giant tortoise), 94 nucleotides long. NCBI's taxonomy places the organism in Eukaryota, Metazoa, Chordata, Testudines, Testudinidae. The record is from RefSeq and is a predicted model, not a curated record.
GCCUAGACAAUGAAGCCAUGGAAGCGACCUCUGCUGCAAAUUUUUCAAGCCUCCCUACGCCAUCUCGAAGGCUAUUUCAGAUAAGGCGGUGGAA